RNAcentral lists this ribosomal RNA (447 nucleotides) under uncultured bacterium. Its description in RNAcentral is "bacterial SSU rRNA". It matches the Rfam family "Bacterial small subunit ribosomal RNA", at positions 355 to 825 of the family's 1533-position model. The record is from RNAcentral.
UCGGGAAUUUUGUGCAAUGGGCGAAAGCCUGACACAGCAACGCCGCGUGAAGGAUGAAGUCCCUCGGGAUGUAAACUUCGUAAGAAUAGGAAGAAUAAAUAACGGUACUAUUUGUAAGGUCCGGCUAACUACGUGCCAGCAGCCGCGGUAAUACGUAGGGACCAAGCGUUGUUCGGAUUUACUGGGCGUAAAGGGUGCGUAGGCGGCAUAUCAAGUCACUUGUGAAAUCUCCGGGCUUAACUCGGAACUGCCAAGUGAUACUGAUGUGCUAGAGUGCAGAAAGGGCAACUGGAAUUCUUGGUGUAGCGGUGAAAUGCGUAGAUAUCAAGAGGAACACCUGAGGCGAAGGCGAGUUGCUAGGCUGACACUGACGCUGAGGUACGAAAGCUAGGGGAGCGAACGGGAUUAGAUACCCACGUAGUCCCUGAGCGGGCUGGCAAGGCGCAU